GGAGAGGUACCGAAGUGGCCAUAACGGCGCCGACUCGAAAUCGGAUGGGCGGUAACACGCCACGUGGGUUCGAAUCCCACCCUCUCCGCCA
RNAcentral lists this transfer RNA (91 nucleotides) under Pseudomonadota bacterium. RNAcentral's name for it is "Proteobacteria bacterium tRNA-Ser". It matches the Rfam family "tRNA". Rfam says of the family: Transfer RNA (tRNA) molecules are approximately 80 nucleotides in length. Their secondary structure includes four short double-helical elements and three loops (D, anti-codon, and T loops). Further hydrogen bonds mediate the characteristic L-shaped molecular structure. tRNAs have two regions of fundamental functional importance: the anti-codon, which is responsible for specific mRNA codon recognition, and the 3' end, to which the tRNAs corresponding amino acid is attached (by aminoacyl-tRNA synthetases). tRNAs cope with the degeneracy of the genetic code in two manners: having more than one tRNA (with a specific anti-codon) for a particular amino acid; and 'wobble' base-pairing, i.e. permitting non-standard base-pairing at the 3rd anti-codon position. Lineage: Bacteria; Pseudomonadati; Pseudomonadota. RNAcentral also lists the same sequence under 2 other names. The record is from RNAcentral.